GGUCAAGCUACAAAGGGCGCAUGGUGAAUGCCUUGGCAUCAGGAGCCGAUGAAGGACGCGAUAAGCUGCGAUAAGCUUCGGGUAGACGCACAUAGUCAGAGAUCCGAAGAUUUCCGAAUGAGGAAA
RNAcentral lists this ribosomal RNA (126 nucleotides) under Clostridium botulinum. RNAcentral describes it as "partial 23S ribosomal RNA". It matches the Rfam family "Bacterial large subunit ribosomal RNA", at positions 1 to 126 of the family's 2925-position model. RNAcentral also lists the same sequence under 1 other name. Lineage: Bacteria; Bacillati; Bacillota; Clostridia; Eubacteriales; Clostridiaceae. The record is from RNAcentral.